CCUACGGGAGGCAGCAGUGGGGAAUAUUGGACAAUGGGCGCAAGCCUGAUCCAGCAAUUCCGCGUGUGUGAAGAAGGCCUGCGGGUUGUAAAGCACUUUAAGCAGGAAAGAAGGCUUCGAGGUUAAUAUCCUCGGAGAUUGACGUUACCUCCAGAAUAAGCACCGGCUAACUCCGUGCCAGCAGCCGCGGUAAU
Molecule: ribosomal RNA, 194 nt
Filed under: uncultured bacterium
Lineage: Bacteria
Description: partial 16S ribosomal RNA
Rfam family: Bacterial small subunit ribosomal RNA
Source: RNAcentral